This 84-nucleotide transfer RNA is filed under the name Antrostomus carolinensis (chuck-will's-widow). Its description in RNAcentral is "Caprimulgus carolinensis (chuck-will's-widow) tRNA". It matches the Rfam family "tRNA". From Rfam's summary of the family: Transfer RNA (tRNA) molecules are approximately 80 nucleotides in length. Their secondary structure includes four short double-helical elements and three loops (D, anti-codon, and T loops). Lineage: Eukaryota; Metazoa; Chordata; Aves; Caprimulgiformes; Caprimulgidae. The record is from Rfam by way of RNAcentral.
GGUAGUGUGCCCAAGUGGUCUAAGGCACAGGAUUAAGGUUCCAGUCUCUUAAAUGGGGCGUGGGUUUGAAUCCCACUGCUGCCA